RNAcentral lists this long non-coding RNA (5498 nucleotides) under Volvox carteri. Its description in RNAcentral is "long non-coding RNA (VCAR_LNC002275)". The record is from RNAcentral. Lineage: Eukaryota; Viridiplantae; Chlorophyta; Chlorophyceae; Chlamydomonadales; Volvocaceae.
GAACACUUUCAUGAUAAAGUAACUUGAUGUAUUUGAGGUAUUUAAUACGCGUAUUUCAUUGAUGUCAUUUGCACCACGACCGGCUGCUGUUCGUCAAUGUUUUACCACCGCUGUAUAGUGAUGCUUGACUACAAAGUACAGAGAUGACAUAGAAGCAUGACUCCGAGCUCUUACAUGUAGGAAAAAUACAGGUAACCGUCGAAUUAGGCAAAGUCCGUUGCAGCGCUGGAGGAAACUUAGCGCCCACAUACAACGCCCGCUGCUGCACUCGCGCUUGCAAUGUCACACCUCGCGCAUCGCGCAACCUCACCGGCUCCGAUCAAAGCAGCGAACCUGGCUACCCAUGGCGCGCAAAUGGGUUGAAUCCCUGUACACAUCUGCACGCCCCUCCAAACGUUAUGCCAAACAACGAAAUCUGCCUACACACCACGCAUUGCCCGUUUGCUACAAAGCACGUCGUCCUUUGAUUAUCCCGCGCCAACAUGAGUACGACUGCGGCAGUGGGCACGCGCGUCACCUCACCAAAAAACAUGGCAUCGCGUAUGUAACAUCAUGCUUUUAAAUGUUUCCUUUGGCUCCCGCUCAUCCCUAUCAUGAUUGCCUGUCGGUGGCCAGGUGGUCUUGGGGGGGAUGUGCGGGGUCGUGGGGCUGCCGCCCCACUUCCCCGCACUUUCCCCUCUCUCCUGCCCCUUGUUCUUGGAAAGCUUUAGGCGAAAGUUUUUAUCGGCUGGCAUUAGCAAGCAUGUGGGCUGUGUGCCUUUUCCAAUGAUUGAAACGGUUUGUUUUCUUGCAUUGGUCGUACAGUGCAAAUUGCCCACACAUUGCUAGUUGUUGCAACAGUAAAGUAUAAGCAAUUGACGAAGUGUAAGGAGAAUGUCAGUCUGGAGAAUUAAGCAUCUAAAUUUGUGAUUACAGUCGAGGUGAGCCGUUAGUCCCCCCCAUUUAAACUGGGCAGGUUGCAGGUUGUCCGCCGUCACCAGCAUGUCGUUGGCAGUGUGCACCGCACUGUUGCCUCUGCCACCGCUGCUGCCGUCGGGCAUGUUAGACUUAGCGCUGUCAGCACUAUCACCGGAGCAGCGGUGGACUUCCCGACUUUCCGCCGCCGCCACUGCUGCUGCUGUCGGGUUGGCAGGCCGUCAUUGACCGGGGCUGUGGCAUGUGCAGGGACUGCCGUUGACUGCGGGUGUUGCGAUGGAAGGGGUGGUGUUGGGGUCGCCGGGGGUGGGGUAGCCACUGGGGUCGGCAGCAUGGCGGGCGGUGUAGAGCCGCCGAUGGGGUCACUGCCGCUGGGGCAGCAGUGUUUUUUUUUUGCGGAAUAUAUUCCGAAUUCGGAAUAAAAAAUGUUCGCGGUCCUGGAAAUUAAGAAUAAAUAAUGUUCCGACCGUACAAGUUCAUUCCUCCAGCCAAAUAGGGGGGUCCUUGUGAAGCAGCUGCCCGCGUUUCCAAAGCCCGUAUGGUGUUGGAUUGUAAGUUGCCCAAGUACGUUUGCGAGGAAGAGAAUGUGGCCAGGCUGGAGAGGAAAGUGCAGUGGCAUAUUGGAAUGUGAGAUUAGCGUAAGCGAGUUACAGGGCGUUUUUAUUUAUUGCACGGGCGAAUUUACGUGCAAAUCUUUNNNNNNNNNNNNNNNNNNNNNNNNNNNNNNNNNNNNNNNNNNNNNNNNNNACUUUUUCGGUCGCUCGAGCGUCGCAGGAGCAGUGGCGACGCACUUUGUGGAGUGAUGCACGUCCAUGGAGUCCAGGAAUUAACUUUGCGCGAGCAGCCACUCUGUAUGGCCAAGUAGCAAUCCAAUUUUCAUUCUUCGUAAAGAAUCGGGAGAGUAACGCUACAGGAGCGUCCAUACAAUAAUAGGACAAGGGGCUCCGCUCGUCAAAGUAGACUUUGACGUGGUGGCGUUAGUAGAACCAAAACUAACUCCAGAAAAGCUUUACGAAAUUCAUCAAGAAUACGGUGAACCCAAAGAUAAGAACAAGCGGAACCUUGCGGAACCGAACUCAAUCGAUCAACGCAGCGAUCACUCAUGAAAACACCAAGAGAUGCAAUGGAGGCUCACUCUAGGAACCAGGAUUCCAAGGACAAAGAGGUUCGGCAGGUCAACUCGUCGGGUCAAGUCAAGUCGCAUGUCGCACGAAGUGCAUUUUCCACAGGACAACGUAUUACAAGUGACCGAUUAUCUCCGACGCUGUCACAUUGACAUGCGCCGCACGGUGGUGGCCUGGUGGGGCUGCGGGACCUCCGCGGGACCCCCGCGGUGGGUGGUGGGGGAGCCACCCUGCGGCAGCAUCACUCCUGGGCCUGCCCCGUGGCCCUGGGCACGGUGGGCCAAGUUCAAUUGCAGAUGGUUGCUCGGGUGAGCCGAGCAAAGCUCUGGCUGAUGCAAGCGCCACCCCCUUAGAGGGCUGUGUGUAGGUUGUGGUAGUGUGUCCUGAGGUGCCUGUGUAGGCGACUUUCCCCGAGUCCUGCUUUAUAAUUUUCUGGUGCAGUUGUGAUGCGUCGCUGUUGCCCCCUGUUUGGUAGUGGUGUCCCGCUGGGUGUCUGCAUUUUUGGGUGUUCUGCUGGCGGGCUGUAGCUACUGUUCACUUUCGGGCAUUGUGAUGCGGGGAUGCAUUGCACCGACCUUGCACGGGGUCCACUGUAACCUUCAUUCAUUCAGUGUAUGUGAAGAAAUGCAUGAAUUCUCGGUCUUAGAGGGGAUUGCGUUAUGUGUGUAGUGUAGGGUGUGCAGGAUUUCACACGCAGCGCAAGUCGCGCGCCUGCCAGGGAUUCACACGGCAGCCCCGGCCCAUCAUCAGCCUAUGACAGCUGCCGCCACUUCAAGGCGAUUUGCUUUGUGUGCUCGUGAGGCAGGGAGCUCUGUCCAGCUGCCGCUGCUUCUGAUGGGGUGUUACACUGUGGGCGGCUCGUCCCGAGAGAGGACAAGCACCGGGGGCUAUGACCGGGCCGAAACACAGGGGCGGGCGGGCGCGUGGCUCUACGUCCGUCUGUUCCGCCGCGCUCGCCUCACCCCCUCACUCACGCCAACCGGGGCGCUGUCCCAGCCCCUGGCUAGGCAACACAGCGGACACAGAAGACUGCGAACCGAACUAAGCGAGAGGCUCACGAGAGGCGCCACACUUCUGCCUUCUGUGAUUGCGCUAAACAUGUACCCGUUUGGUACCUGCUGAGGCUUUGCUGCUUGACCAUCCACGCUCUUCUCGCACGUUGGUUUGUGACCUUCACAGCUGCUCCUCUAUCUGUUACCGCAAUCGUGCUCGCUGCCAUCGGAGCGGUUACCUUUCGCUAGUACCCAUACUUGCGUGAAACACUCUUAUAUCAACCGAGUCUAAUACAAUGACCAGCAGUGAAUUUGACAAAGUGUCCUGCUCUCAUCCAAAGUCAGACCUGUGCCUAAACGCGAACGUAAAGGCACAAUUCUUUGUCAAUAUGUUCUUCGUUAAACGUCUUACUUAUAACACUCGAAAAAAAUUGCGAAUACUUUAGUUUUUGGUGCUUAUGUGAGCUCGAAUGGGCUGGGGACCGGAAGGCACAUAAAUUAGGUCCCUCGCCGGUCCCACGGUCGUACAUUCCGGGUCCCCUGGCCCUAGAUAUGCCCUACAUACAGCAGUCACGAAUGAGUGCCCCAAUUUUUGGUUGGCUAGUGACACUUAAAAUUUAUAUGAGGAACACUUUCAUGAUAAAGUAACUUGAUGUAUUUGAGGUAUUUAAUACGCGUAUUUCAUUGAUGUCAUUUGCACCACGACCGGCUGCUGUUCGUCAAUGUUUUACCACCGCUGUAUAGUGAUGCUUGACUACAAAGUACAGAGAUGACAUAGAAGCAUGACUCCGAGCUCUUACAUGUAGGAAAAAUACAGGUAACCGUCGAAUUAGGCAAAGUCCGUUGCAGCGCUGGAGGAAACUUAGCGCCCACAUACAACGCCCGCUGCUGCACUCGCGCUUGCAAUGUCACACCUCGCGCAUCGCGCAACCUCACCGGCUCCGAUCAAAGCAGCGAACCUGGCUACCCAUGGCGCGCAAAUGGGUUGAAUCCCUGUACACAUCUGCACGCCCCUCCAAACGUUAUGCCAAACAACGAAAUCUGCCUACACACCACGCAUUGCCCGUUUGCUACAAAGCACGUCGUCCUUUGAUUAUCCCGCGCCAACAUGAGUACGACUGCGGCAGUGGGCACGCGCGUCACCUCACCAAAAAACAUGGCAUCGCGUAUGUAACAUCAUGCUUUUAAAUGUUUCCUUUGGCUCCCGCUCAUCCCUAUCAUGAUUGCCUGUCGGUGGCCAGGUGGUCUUGGGGGGGAUGUGCGGGGUCGUGGGGCUGCCGCCCCACUUCCCCGCACUUUCCCCUCUCUCCUGCCCCUUGUUCUUGGAAAGCUUUAGGCGAAAGUUUUUAUCGGCUGGCAUUAGCAAGCAUGUGGGCUGUGUGCCUUUUCCAAUGAUUGAAACGGUUUGUUUUCUUGCAUUGGUCGUACAGUGCAAAUUGCCCACACAUUGCUAGUUGUUGCAACAGUAAAGUAUAAGCAAUUGACGAAGUGUAAGGAGAAUGUCAGUCUGGAGAAUUAAGCAUCUAAAUUUGUGAUUACAGUCGAGGUGAGCCGUUAGUCCCCCCCAUUUAAACUGGGCAGGUUGCAGGUUGUCCGCCGUCACCAGCAUGUCGUUGGCAGUGUGCACCGCACUGUUGCCUCUGCCACCGCUGCUGCCGUCGGGCAUGUUAGACUUAGCGCUGUCAGCACUAUCACCGGAGCAGCGGUGGACUUCCCGACUUUCCGCCGCCGCCACUGCUGCUGCUGUCGGGUUGGCAGGCCGUCAUUGACCGGGGCUGUGGCAUGUGCAGGGACUGCCGUUGACUGCGGGUGUUGCGAUGGAAGGGGUGGUGUUGGGGUCGCCGGGGGUGGGGUAGCCACUGGGGUCGGCAGCAUGGCGGGCGGUGUAGAGCCGCCGAUGGGGUCACUGCCGCUGGGGCAGCAGUGUUUUUUUUUUGCGGAAUAUAUUCCGAAUUCGGAAUAAAAAAUGUUCGCGGUCCUGGAAAUUAAGAAUAAAUAAUGUUCCGACCGUACAAGUUCAUUCCUCCAGCCAAAUAGGGGGGUCCUUGUGAAGCAGCUGCCCGCGUUUCCAAAGCCCGUAUGGUGUUGGAUUGUAAGUUGCCCAAGUACGUUUGCGAGGAAGAGAAUGUGGCCAGGCUGGAGAGGAAAGUGCAGUGGCAUAUUGGAAUGUGAGAUUAGCGUAAGCGAGUUACAGGGCGUUUUUAUUUAUUGCACGGGCGAAUUUACGUGCAAAUCUUUCACCGUAGCAUCAGUCCUCAGUUCACUUCUUGGAACGAACAUCAGCAUAGGUCCAAGCCCUCUCGCUUGGAGGGAUAUGCAAACAAACAUCCUGAUAGGGGUAAACUCGCACGCUACCGAGCAUUCAACCGAGCACAUGCAUGCUUAGUUGAAUGGUGAGAUGCGACCCCCCCUUCAUUUCGUGCUCGGCAAGCCUGCCACCGCGUACCGGAUAUGUUGGCGAUGUNNN